RNAcentral lists this ribosomal RNA (525 nucleotides) under Triticum aestivum (bread wheat). Its description in RNAcentral is "partial small subunit ribosomal RNA". Lineage: Eukaryota; Viridiplantae; Streptophyta; Magnoliopsida; Poales; Poaceae. The record is from RNAcentral.
CAGCUUGUUUGGCUGAAGGAAUUUCAAACUUUUGAUGACAAGUCCAGCGCCAUUAAUGUUGAUACUGGUGUUAACAAACAACUCACUGAGAUGAUCACGAAGUGGCACCGCCCUGGGCAGAAACUUCUUGUUGGAAAACAUGAAUAUAAAUCAAUUAUUGAAACAAGCUUGGUCAAUGAGCAGAUUGUUGCGACUGCAUCUGUCUUGUUUGAUUGUGAUGCUUUUGAGAAGAAACAGUAUGAAAACUUUCAAGCUAUUGGUCGCCACCUUAAGAAUGUUUCUGGCAUUGACUGUGAGAACUGGGACCUUUUGAAACUUGCAACAGCUUUUAAGAUCAUAUGCAGCCAUGAAAUUGGUGAUUCUGAUGAGAUGUUUACAAAAAACCUGCGAACAAAGUUGCUGGAUGAUGCCGAUAAAUAUGAAAAAAAGAUAAAUAAGUUGGUUUGCAUGUUGAACUAUGAAGACCUAAUGUCUAACUAUCAAAUCAAGACUCGUCACAAAGGCCGUUUUGGUAAAGGAAGCUAA